AGUGAACGCUGGCGGUAGGCCUAACACAUGCAAGUCGAACGGCAGCACAGUAAGAGCUUGCUCUUACGGGUGGCGAGUGGCGGACGGGUGAGGAAUACAUCGGAAUCUACUUUUUCGUGGGGGAUAACGUAGGGAAACUUACGCUAAUACCGCAUACGACCUACGGGUGAAAUCAGGGGAUCUUCGGACCUUUCGCGAUUGAAUGAGCCGAUGUCGGAUUAGCUAGUUGGCGGGGUAAAGGCCCACCAAGGCGACGAUCCGUAGCUGGUCUGAGAGGAUGUACCGCCAAACUGGAAAUGAGACACGGUCCAGAAUCCUACGGGAGGCAGCAGUGGGGAAUAUUGGACAAUGGGCGCAAGCCUGAUCCAGCCAUACCGCGUGGGUGAAGAAGGCCUUCGGGUUGUAAAGCCCUUUUGUUGGGAAAGAAAAGCAGCAGGUUAAUACCCCGCUGUUCUGACGGUACCCAAAGAAUAAGCACCGGCUAACUUCGUG
Molecule: ribosomal RNA, 492 nt
Filed under: uncultured bacterium
Lineage: Bacteria
Description: partial 16S ribosomal RNA
Rfam family: Bacterial small subunit ribosomal RNA
Source: RNAcentral